This is a long non-coding RNA of Hypomesus transpacificus, 647 nucleotides long. RefSeq lists it as uncharacterized. NCBI's taxonomy places the organism in Eukaryota, Metazoa, Chordata, Actinopteri, Osmeriformes, Osmeridae. The record is from RefSeq and is a predicted model, not a curated record. The transcript is spliced from 3 exons.
GACACUGGUCUUAAAUACUACUGAGAGCAAUUUAUCACCCCAACACGUUUCAACUACACAAAAAUAUGCAGGUUUUUCUUGUACUCACUAUAAUCCUCAACCUGACACUGACUUUAAAGGCCUACCAGUCUUCGUGCUUUCGUCGGGAGGCGCUACACGACAAACUCCAAAAGGUAAAGCGUCAACUUUGCAGAGGACUAAUUAACACGGAAGAUGAAGCACGCCUACCACUUGCAAAGACCGAGACAACUUGCCCCAUCGGACUCUAUUCCACUUCGCCAGAGAUCAUGAAUCGCUCCAUCUCCCCCUGGAGGUUAAGAGUUGAUGUGGACGAGACACGCUUUCCGCGGGAAAUUCGUGUCGCUGAUUGCCUAUGCAAGGGGUGUAUCAUCAACAAGUCUGAAAAUGCGGGAUACAUAUCGAAACCUGUCCUCCAAAGUAAGAUAGUGAUAAAGUGGAUACCCUGUCAUCAUGAUGGAGGCUCGCUGAAUGGAUACUUACUUAAAACAGAAUAUGUCAACGUGCCUAUUGCCUGCACCUGCGUGGUGCCAAAGACAGUAGACAUGAAAUAUUGAUUGCCUUAAUUCCUCUCGUAGAGGAUUUGGAAAAGACUAAAUGUAGUGACGUGUUUCACAUAAUGUUGUGUU